AUUGUUUGGUGGCGAUAGCGAAGAGGUCACACCCGUUCCCAUGCCGAACACGGAAGUUAAGCUCUUCAGCGCCGAUGGUAGUCGGGGGUCUCCCCCUGUGAGAGUAGGACGCCGCCAAGCAAG
Molecule: ribosomal RNA, 123 nt
Filed under: Bacillus mojavensis
Lineage: Bacteria; Bacillati; Bacillota; Bacilli; Caryophanales; Bacillaceae
Source: RNAcentral